Molecule: long non-coding RNA, 1643 nt
Filed under: Volvox carteri
Lineage: Eukaryota; Viridiplantae; Chlorophyta; Chlorophyceae; Chlamydomonadales; Volvocaceae
Description: long non-coding RNA (VCAR_LNC001554)
Source: RNAcentral
UCCGUUGAGGAUAUGCAUCUUUCUAGGCACUUUGGGAAUCCCAACCGCCAGGCUCGCCAUUCACCUUUUCCGUUCACCGGCCAGGGCUUGUUCCUUAGUACGGUUUGAGGAUUGGACAUAGUUUGGGAUCGGUACCGCGCUAAAUAACGGUGUGUAUUACCCGGAGGUCCUUGCGCCGAUGGACUCAUGGACGCAUGGACUCCCCAGCUGGGGAGCUUGGUGGAAGUGCAAUCAAUAGCAACGGCCGUUGCGUCUCUGUUUGAUGGCAGCGAGGGCACUGCUCACCCAGCCGUACACACCACGCAUCCCGGUGCUACGCUAUCACAACCCAGUGCCGUGUGGAUUUGUGCUUUAGGGCUGCAGGUGGUGUAGGAUUUACUUCGUUCCCCGCCGUGUGUGCUGUGCGUUGCAUGUGCAAGAUUUUGAGAAUCAAGAAAAAUACUCGUCAAAUCGUCGUACGCGAAAUACACUGCCCUUCUAAUUUCCUGGAAGCCUUGAGCUGAAAGCGGCUGCUGCCCUUGUUUUGUUUUCUGUGAAGGUGUCUGGACGGCAGAGCUUUGCACGUAGCACGCCGAUUGGUCGUAUCGCGGUAUGAGCCCAUGACUCCACCACCUGCCGAUGCCUCCAACAUAUUGCAGCGAUGGCCCUGCUAUUGACGAGGAUCAUCCACGACGGCCGCGCUUGGUAACUGCUCGAUGCUGGGGGAACCCCUUCGUCUCCCCGGAGGGGGACACGCGGUCCCUUGGCCCCAAGGAGAAGAAGAAGACCUCCCCCUUAAUUUUGAUGCACGAGGUGGUGACUUUUACAUAUCGAACACAUCGGGGUGCGGUAUCCAGGAGGAUCGGCUUCUAGAUAGACUUCUACGUACUCCUUGCCAUCCUGGAAGACGAGUUCGCAAAUGGACCUUGAAAGAUAACAGUUACAUGAGCUGCAGUCCUGAGCCAAGGUUCUUGACACAAGUUCUGCAAUAAAAAACCUACAACCUGCAGCCUCUGUCCAGAUAGCCUCUGUCGCGCACUCACGCAUCGCCCGCCCCUUCGAUGUUUAUUCCGCCCGCUCCGCAUCCUGCAUCGUCGCAUGGCUGAGCUUGGGUAAUCGGUCGUUAGGCGAUGAUCCGUAAUGAAUACUGGUGAACACUGGCGGGGCCAGCAGUCACUCAUAUGACGUACAAGCAACUAUUAACAACCACGUGGCAAAACGUCACCAUCCAGGUCCCCAGGUAAAACGGCGGCACCCUACGACCGGUGAGGCAAAGAUCGGCAGGGCCGGCCAAACCUGACCUCUGCUGGUGACUUCAACACCGGUUUUUGGGUCGCAUAUUGUGGCUUCUUAGCUCCUGGGCCUCCACCUAGCUCGUAUGGGCACUCGUCACGCCUCUCUUGAGCAAGACAGCCGAGGUGCAACACGCACUCACAUCUACAUUCAUGACCGCAAGUGACGAGGAGCUGUACAUUCGAGGCCAUCUAUGUACAUGCUUGCUAUGUACAUGUUCUAUGUACUGCAUCUGUACUGCGUAUGUACUGCGCAGGAUGAGGUCCUGCUGACGGAGUCACUAAAAGUGUAAGUCGGUGCCAAUACUUAAUAAACCGACCAACCGACCGACUGACCGACUACGACGUAACCAUGAACAAUUUCAUCAUCAC